Molecule: ribosomal RNA, 322 nt
Filed under: uncultured eukaryote
Lineage: Eukaryota
Description: partial 18S ribosomal RNA
Rfam family: Eukaryotic small subunit ribosomal RNA
Source: RNAcentral
CCCUUAGAUGUUCUGGGCCGCACGCGUGCUACACAGAGUGGAUCAGCGGGUCAGGUUGCGCGAAAGCGUUUCCUAAUCUUUAAAUCCGCUCGUGAUGGGGAUUGACGGUUGCAAUUUUCUGUCAUGAACGAGGAAUACCUUGUAAGCGCGGGUCAUCAUCCCGCGCUGAAUACGUCCCUGCCCUUUGUACACACCGCCCGUCGCUCCUACCGAUUGAGUGGUCCGGUGAGGCUUUGGGAUCUGAGCGGAAAGAGCGUUUCGCUGUUUCUGCUCGGAAAACUCAGUCGAACCUUAUCAUUUAGAGGAAGGAGAAGUCGUAACA